CAGAGCGUAGCUAAAUAGCAUAGCAUCUCCCUUACACUGAGAAGACACCCGUGCAAACCGGGUCGCACUGA
Molecule: transfer RNA, 71 nt
Filed under: Tomiyamichthys emilyae
Lineage: Eukaryota; Metazoa; Chordata; Actinopteri; Gobiiformes; Gobiidae
Description: tRNA-Val
Rfam family: tRNA
About the family: Transfer RNA (tRNA) molecules are approximately 80 nucleotides in length.
Source: RNAcentral